ACGAACGCUGGCGGCGUGCUUAACCUCUGCAAGUCGAACGGAAAGGCCCUGCUUUUGUGGGGUGCUCGAGUGGCGAACGGGUGAGUAACACGUGAGUAACCUGCCCUUGACUUUGGGAUAACUUCAGGAAACUGGGGCUAAUACCGGAUAGGAGCUCCUGCUGCAUGGUGGGGGUUGGAAAGUUUCGGCGGUUGGGGAUGGACUCGCGGCUUAUCAGCUUGUUGGUGGGGUAGUGGCUUACCAAGGCUUUGACGGGUAGCCGGCCUGAGAGGGUGACCGGCCACAUUGGGACUGAGAUACGGCCCAGACUCCUACGGGAGGCAGCAGUGGGGAAUAUUGCACAAUGGGCGGAAGCCUGAUGCAGCAACGCCGCGUGCGGGAUGACGGCCUUCGGGUUGUAAACCGCUUUCGCCUGUGACGAAGCGUGAGUGACGGUAAUGGGUAAAGAAGCACCGGCUAACUACGUG
Molecule: ribosomal RNA, 467 nt
Filed under: uncultured bacterium
Lineage: Bacteria
Description: partial 16S ribosomal RNA
Rfam family: Bacterial small subunit ribosomal RNA
Source: RNAcentral